This 1369-nucleotide ribosomal RNA is filed under the name Stigonema sp. H6-12. RNAcentral describes it as "bacterial SSU rRNA". It matches the Rfam family "Bacterial small subunit ribosomal RNA". The record is from RNAcentral. Lineage: Bacteria; Bacillati; Cyanobacteriota; Cyanophyceae; Nostocales; Stigonemataceae.
CGGACGGGUGAGUAACGCGUGAGAAUCUGCCCUUUGGUCGGGGACAACCACUGGAAACGGUGGCUAAUACCGGAUAUACCUAACGGUGAAAGAUUAAUUGCCAAAGGAGGAGCUCGCGUCUGAUUAGCUAGUUGGUGGGGUAAAAGCCUACCAAGGCGACGAUCAGUAGCUGGUCUGAGAGGACGAUCAGCCACACUGGAACUGAGACACGGUCCAGACUCCUACGGGAGGCAGCAGUGGGGAAUUUUCCGCAAUGGGCGAAAGCCUGACGGAGCAAUACCGCGUGAGGGAGGAAGGCUCUUGGGUUGUAAACCUCUUUUCUCAGGGAAGAACUCAAUGACGGUACCUGAGGAAUCAGCAUCGGCUAACUCCGUGCCAGCAGCCGCGGUAAUACGGAGGAUGCAAGCGUUAUCCGGAAUGACUGGGCGUAAAGCGUCCGCAGGUGGCAUUGAAAGUCUGCUGUCAAAGAGUCUGGCUCAACCAGAUAAAGGCAGUGGAAACUACAAAGCUAGAGUACGUUCGGGGCAGAGGGAAUUCCUGGUGUAGCGGUGAAAUGCGUAGAGAUCAGGAAGAACACCGGUGGCGAAAGCGCUCUGCUAGGCCGUAACUGACACUGAGGGACGAAAGCUAGGGGAGCGAAUGGGAUUAGAUACCCCAGUAGUCCUAGCCGUAAACGAUGGAUACUAGGUGUUGCUUGUAUCGACCCGAGCAGUACCGUAGCUAACGCGUUAAGUAUCCCGCCUGGGGAGUACGCAGGCAACUGUGAAACUCAAAGGAAUUGACGGGGGCCCGCACAAGCGGUGGAGUAUGUGGUUUAAUUCGAUGCAACGCGAAGAACCUUACCAGGGCUUGACAUGUCGCGAAUCCUUGUGAAAGCAGGGAGUGCCUUCGGGAGCGCGAACACAGGUGGUGCAUGGCUGUCGUCAGCUCGUGUCGUGAGAUGUUGGGUUAAGUCCCGCAACGAGCGCAACCCUCGUUUUUAGUUGCCAUCAUUAAGUUGGGCACUCUAGAGAGACUGCCGGUGACAAACCGGAGGAAGGUGGGGAUGACGUCAAGUCAGCAUGCCCCUUACGUCCUGGGCUACACACGUACUACAAUGCUACGAACAGAGGGCAGCAAGCGUGCGAAUGCAAGCUAAUCCCGGAAAUCGUAGCUCAGUUCAGAUCGCAGGCUGCAACUCGCCUGCGUGAAGUUGGAAUCGCUAGUAAUUGCAGGUCAGCAUACUGCAGUGAAUUCGUUCCCGGGCCUUGUACACACCGCCCGUCACACCAUGGAAGCUGGUAGUGCCCGAAGUCAUUACCCCAACUGUUCGCAGAGGGGGAUGCCUAAGGCAGGACUGGUGACUGGGGUGAAGUCGUAACAAGGUAAC